UUCUCUUGUUCCUGUUUUCUCAUCAUGAUUCAAAGGUCCUGAAUAAACUGCUGAAAGAAGAAUCCUGUGUCGUGUUUCCCUUGCUGGCGAGGGGUCGCGACAGUAAAUAGUGCAAUUGUUGUAGGGUAGUGAAAGCUUCUACCAGUAUUUCAAAGGAAAUCUUUGGAGGACAUGUGUGUCAGGUGCUCAUAACCUAGAGUUUGCCUUGAAUAUAAGAAGUGAUUUUGGACUUGGACUUCUGAACGAUACUAGAAACAUUAAGACUGUGGGGGACUCUUGGAGAUGGACUGAAAGCAUUUUUUACUGUAAGAAGUAUAUGACCCUUUGAGGCUCAGGGGUGGAAUGUUGGAUUUGGACUCUCAAAUGUCAUGUGUGGAAGGUCUUAGUUGAUGGGAAUUACUGGAAAUUAUGGAAACUUUAGAUCUGGAGACUAGCUGAAGGAACUAGGUUGACCCCAACCGGUUCUGCCCACUCUGAUUGCUUCCCAACCACAAUAAUAUAUGCAGUUUCCUCCAUCAUGCUAUACUAGCUGACCACAGGCCACAGGCAAUAAGGCCAGGUGACAAUGGACCGAAAAUGCUGAAACCAUAUGCAAAAAUAAAUAUUGCCUCCAUUUAAA
Ictidomys tridecemlineatus (thirteen-lined ground squirrel) is the source of this 619-nucleotide non-coding RNA. Lineage: Eukaryota; Metazoa; Chordata; Mammalia; Rodentia; Sciuridae. The record is from RefSeq and is a predicted model, not a curated record.